This 310-nucleotide unclassified non-coding RNA is filed under the name Hevea brasiliensis (rubber tree). Lineage: Eukaryota; Viridiplantae; Streptophyta; Magnoliopsida; Malpighiales; Euphorbiaceae. The record is from RNAcentral.
GUUCAGCAGGUUUUUCAUGAACAAUGGUGCUACUAGGAAGGUUGUUGACUGAACUUCUGAAAGCAGAAAAAGAACCUUUUGCUAGGGGUUUCAAAGAGGAGACUGGAUUUGUCUCUUCCACAGUUUCCCCACAAGUUAAAACUACUGAAUCCAGUUCAGAAGAAGUAGCAUCUGCAGCAUUAGAAGAAUAACCAACUCCAUUUUCCAAGUCCUUCGAAGUUGUCUCCAUCUUUAGUAACAAGAUGCUGGAUGCUUGUUCUACUUCAUGGAUGCAUUCAACAUCUGCACAACGAAUUGAACUUUCCUGUGG